Molecule: ribosomal RNA, 320 nt
Filed under: uncultured eukaryote
Lineage: Eukaryota
Description: partial 18S ribosomal RNA
Rfam family: Eukaryotic small subunit ribosomal RNA
Source: RNAcentral
CCCCUAGAUGUUCUGGGCCGCACGCGCGCUACACUGAACAGUUCAACAAGUCUUAACCUUGGCCGAUAGGUUUGGGUAAUCUUUGAACGCUGUUCGUGAUUGGGAUAGACCUUUGCAAUUAUGGGUCUUCAACGAGGAAUUCCUAGUAAACGCAAGUCAUCAGCUUGCAUUGAUUACGUCCCUGCCCUUUGUACACACCGCCCGUCGCACCUACCGAUUGAAUGGUCCGGUGAAAUCUCGGGACGGCGGCUCGGUCGCUUGCGUCCGACUGCUGAAACUUGAUUAAACCAUAUCAUUUAGAGGAAGGUGAAGUCGUAACA